UACGUAGGGUCCAAGCGUUAUCCGGAAUCACUGGGCGUAAAGAGUGCGUAGGCGGGUUUUUAAGUGCAAUGCGAAAUUCUGGGGCUCAACCCCAUGAACUGUAUUGCAUACUGGAUACCUAGAGGAUAUGAGAGGCAAGUGGAAUUACCGGUGUAGCAGUGAAAUGCGUAGAGAUCGGUAGGAACACCAAUGGCGAAGGCAGCUUGCUGGCAUAUUUCUGACGCUAAGGCACGAAAGCGCGGGGAGCGAACAGG
RNAcentral lists this ribosomal RNA (254 nucleotides) under uncultured bacterium. RNAcentral describes it as "partial 16S ribosomal RNA". It matches the Rfam family "Bacterial small subunit ribosomal RNA", at positions 524 to 776 of the family's 1533-position model. The record is from RNAcentral.